GGAGGGCGGCGGCGGCGGCGGGGGUGUGGGGUCCUUCCCCCGCCCCCCCCCCCACGCCUCCUCCCCUCC
This 69-nucleotide ribosomal RNA is filed under the name Homo sapiens (human). RNAcentral's name for it is "partial 28S ribosomal RNA". Lineage: Eukaryota; Metazoa; Chordata; Mammalia; Primates; Hominidae. The record is from RNAcentral.